AACUGUUCUACUUAUGCUAGUUGAUUAUCAAUAGGAGACCUCGAGUAGUGGCCUAGGGAAUUAACAUUAUAUACAUCGUCUAACCCUGUUUAUGUUGGCGAAUUAGGAAUAGAAAGCUCUGAGUAGUGGUUAGUGAGUUAUUUCGUAAGGGAUCGUCUAUAACGGUUUUGUUAGUUUCCCAUGAUAUUAUAAGGAUUAGACCAUUCAUACAAGGUAUCAUACAUCAACAAGAGAGGAUAAGAGGAUUGUAAUACACAACCCAACUGUCUUAAUACUUCUGUUUUAAAAUUGUAAUUUAUUUUCCAUUCUAAAACCUGACCCCCCCCCCCUCCAUUUACUGUUUUUCCUUUAUAUUACACAAUUGUUGGCUUAUUUGAACACAUUCUCUAUAGAUUUAAUCAGUAGUGAGACGCUCCAGUGGCUAAAUUCUUAUGUUUUUGUUAUUAUCAUGAAUCGAGUUUCGUAACUUGGAAUGAGACGCGGUUCGAAGCAUUGAAAGAUAACAUGAAUUAUUAUUAAUUGGUAAUGAUUUUAUAGGCUGAAUGUGUUGUGAUAACAUGAGUAGUUGAUGAGGAUGAUUAUUAAAAAUUAUUUGAUUGAGUAAAUGGCGAGUUGGGUGAGUUUGAGGAGUAUGUUUUAUGAGUUGUGGAAAUGUUUGAAUAUGUUACUAUGACGAGAUGUUAAGCAUUGAGAAUAAGUAUGAAAUAUAUGAAUGUUGUGAAUAUGGAUUAUUUGUAGUUAUGUUUGUUGUAUUGUUGCAUGUUUGAAAUAUAAUUCUGUUAAGGUGAGUUAUUAGCACGCUUGCAUUAAACUGUUGAUUGAUAAUGUGCAUUUUGUGAUUUUGGUGUGAUAUAAUCCAGAGAGGGGAUUACUUGAGUUGUCAAUGCAUUGAUAAUGUGCACUUACUUGUGUAGAGAAUGUUGUGUUAUUAUCCUACCUUACAAUAUAUGUUUGUUAUUAUUGUUUGUGAUUUCGCACUCCUUUGAUGUUGUUGUUGUUGUUGUGGUAUAUGUUUCUAUUCGGGGUACAAAUAAGCAGGUGACUGAGUAGCUUCUUAGAGUGGAGGAUGACAUGAGCUUGUUUUUUUUUCUUACCGUGUUUAGUUUACAUGCUCUGAUAUGUAACACCGAGCAAAACAUUUAUGAUUUAUCUUCUGUUGUGUUGAGUAGAGAGUUAAAGUAUACUCUCAUGGUUGAUGUUUUGAGGUUUUGAAGAGAUUGUAUUUAUGAUUUUGUUUAUGGUAUAAAGUAUUUAAAAUUAAAUGAUUUACUGAUUACAUGUUUUUUAAUGAGAAAUUCCA
Molecule: long non-coding RNA, 1300 nt
Filed under: Lathyrus oleraceus (garden pea)
Lineage: Eukaryota; Viridiplantae; Streptophyta; Magnoliopsida; Fabales; Fabaceae
Description: Pisum sativum (pea) long non-coding RNA (PSAT_LNC021531)
Source: RNAcentral